Long non-coding RNA from Canis lupus familiaris (dog), 1042 nucleotides. RefSeq lists it as uncharacterized. The record is from RefSeq and is a predicted model, not a curated record. NCBI's taxonomy places the organism in Eukaryota, Metazoa, Chordata, Mammalia, Carnivora, Canidae. The transcript has 3 exons.
GCAAGUGUGGGGCAGGGGGCAGGAAGUCAGAUCAGGGCUGACGGGAAAGCUUUUCCCUCCUCCGAGGCCUCGAAAGGACUUAGGAAAAGGUGAGACAUGAUGGCAGAAAGGGGUGCCACCUGCCCCUCCCAACUCACCAUGCCGGGCGAUGACAUCAACAUCAAUCACUGCACAGCCCAGCUGCUGGAACACCUGAAUCACCGAGCUCUUGCCCGAGGCAAUACCCCCUGUGAGGCCCACCAGGAACAUCUUCCCAGGAAAGAGGUGGCCAGUGAGAAUGCCAAACCAGGAGCCGGGGAAUCACCGAAGUAAGGCACACUUGGCUGGAUGGGACGGCCCACCCUGGGAAUGCCAGCAGGACCUGCCUGGGGACGACAGCAGGCCUGAUCACCAGCACUGCCUGGGUGGCUACUCUACACUGAGAAGAAUCCUCCCUCCUCAACCAAGAGGCCCAGAUGGGGAGCUCAGAGGAAGCAGUGGCUCCAUGGCCUGAGAGGCCUGAGAGGUCAUUUGCAGGCUGGAUGAGAAAACACAUAGGAAGCCCUCCGGACACUGCCAUUUCUACAGUGACUGUUCAGGAGAGGAGUGAAAAGGGAGCUGGGGGAUGGAAGGCGGGUGCUGAAGUCACAUUGCAAGGCAUGGACACUAAAACAGAUGUUCGUGAAGUUACGUCCCCAUUCUCACAGCCUCAGACUAUCUCGCAAAAGACUUCUAAAGUCGUGGGAUACCUGGGUGGCUCAGUGAUUGAGCACCUGCCAUCGGCCCAGGGCAUGAUCCUAGGGUUAUGGGAUCGAGUCCCGCAUUGGGCUCCCACAGGGAGCCUACCUCUCCCUCUGCCUAUGUCUCUGCUUCUCUCUCUGUGUCUCUCAUGAAUAAAUAAAUAAAGUCUAAAGAAUUGUAAAGUCGUGUUGCAUUUUCUGGAGUAAAUAGGGUUACCAUGUCUCGGACUUUGCUCCCAGGCUGGAAGAAAUUAAAUUGAAGGCCAAGUCUCUCCCAUCCUUCCCCCAGCAUCAAAUCAUUUCUCUAGGACCUUGAAAUCUGU